UACGUAGGGUGCAAGCGUUGUCCGGAAUUAUUGGGCGUAAAGAGCUCGUAGGCGGUCUGUCGCGUCGGCUGUGAAAACUCGGGGCUCAACCCCGAGCCUGCAGUCGAUACGGGCAGACUAGAGUGCUGUAGGGGAGACUGGAAUUCCUGGUGUAGCGGUGAAAUGCGCAGAUAUCAGGAGGAACACCGGUGGCGAAGGCGGGUCUCUGGGCAGUAACUGACGCUGAGGAGCGAAGGCGUGGGGAGCGAACAGG
This 253-nucleotide ribosomal RNA is filed under the name uncultured bacterium. RNAcentral's name for it is "partial 16S ribosomal RNA". It matches the Rfam family "Bacterial small subunit ribosomal RNA", at positions 524 to 776 of the family's 1533-position model. The record is from RNAcentral.